Molecule: transfer RNA, 72 nt
Filed under: Camelus bactrianus (Bactrian camel)
Lineage: Eukaryota; Metazoa; Chordata; Mammalia; Artiodactyla; Camelidae
Also listed under: 2 other names
Rfam family: tRNA
About the family: Transfer RNA (tRNA) molecules are approximately 80 nucleotides in length.
Source: Rfam by way of RNAcentral
GGGUGGGUAGCUCAGGGGUAGAGCACCUGCCUAGCAUGCACAAGGUCCUGGGUUCGAUUCCCAGCACCUCCA